AAUAUUGUACAAUGGGGGCAACCCUGAUCCAGCCAUGCCGCGUGUGUGAAGAAGGUUUUCGGACUGUAAAGCACUUUAAGCUGGGAGGAAGGGCAGGAAGUUAAUACCUUGCUGUUUUGACGUUACCGACAGAAUAAGCACCGGCUAACUUCGUGCCAGCAGCUGCGGUAAUACGAAGGGUGCAAGCGUUAAUCGGAAUUAAUGGGCGUAACGCGCGCGUAGUGGGUUUUUUAAGUUGGAAGUGAAAGCCCCGGGCUCAACCUGGGAGCUGCUUUCAAAACUGGCAAGCUAGAGUAUGGCAGAGGGUGGUGGAAUUUCCUGUGUAGAGGUGAAAUGCGUAGAUAUAGGAAGGAACACCAGUGGCGAAGGCGACUACCUGGACUGAUACUGACACUGAGGUGCGAAAGCGUGGGGAGCAAAC
This 421-nucleotide ribosomal RNA is filed under the name uncultured bacterium. Its description in RNAcentral is "partial 16S ribosomal RNA". It matches the Rfam family "Bacterial small subunit ribosomal RNA", at positions 360 to 773 of the family's 1533-position model. The record is from RNAcentral.